GUCGAGGGGAAUGAUGUCCGGUCCGAAGGCGCCUGCGGCGGCGAGGCACCGCGGCUUCGGACCAGGCUUCAUUCCCCAUGAC
RNAcentral lists this microRNA precursor (82 nucleotides) under Setaria italica (foxtail millet). Its description in RNAcentral is "pre miRNA mir-166". Lineage: Eukaryota; Viridiplantae; Streptophyta; Magnoliopsida; Poales; Poaceae. The record is from RNAcentral.